This 74-nucleotide transfer RNA is filed under the name Bertella idiomorpha. Its description in RNAcentral is "tRNA-Leu". It matches the Rfam family "tRNA". From Rfam's summary of the family: Transfer RNA (tRNA) molecules are approximately 80 nucleotides in length. Their secondary structure includes four short double-helical elements and three loops (D, anti-codon, and T loops). The record is from RNAcentral. Lineage: Eukaryota; Metazoa; Chordata; Actinopteri; Lophiiformes; Oneirodidae.
GUUGGUGUGGCAGAGCACGGUUAAUGCAAGAGGCCUAAGCCCUUUAUACAGAGGUUCAAAUCCUCUCCCUAACU